AAAAAAAUAUACAAGGCAGUAAAAGUUCUUCAAAAUUGUUAAUAUUUGAUGUCAAUAAAAUGCUCAAUUAGAAAAACAAUGUUUUAUGUCCUGAGGCAGGAAGGUGAAGUUGGUCCAGUUUCCUCCAUCUUGGCCAGAAAUGGAAGCCCCCACUAGCAGAGGAUUUUAGAGGUUUACAAGAGGCAGUCUCAGGUGUCUAAUGGAGAUACACUGAAGAACUAAAAGUGGAUACCUUUGCAAAAGGAGUUUUAGUGCCUCUAAAAGCCUGCCGUCUGAGGCACUUUAUCUACUGAAUUGAACCUACAACCAAAUUACAGUCUUACGUCUCCGCAUUUUGUAUACCAAUCUUGACUUCAAGAUGAG
This 363-nucleotide long non-coding RNA is filed under the name Vulpes vulpes (red fox). Its description in RNAcentral is "lncRNA (ENSVVUG00000024031.1)". Lineage: Eukaryota; Metazoa; Chordata; Mammalia; Carnivora; Canidae. The record is from RNAcentral.